This 74-nucleotide transfer RNA is filed under the name Actinomycetota bacterium. RNAcentral describes it as "Actinobacteria bacterium (freshwater metagenome) tRNA-Ile". It matches the Rfam family "tRNA". Rfam says of the family: Transfer RNA (tRNA) molecules are approximately 80 nucleotides in length. Their secondary structure includes four short double-helical elements and three loops (D, anti-codon, and T loops). Lineage: Bacteria; Bacillati; Actinomycetota. The record is from RNAcentral.
GGGCGAUUAGCUCAGUCGGUUAGAGCGCCGCUCUGAUAAGGCGGAGGUCGGUGGUUCGAGUCCACCAUCGCCCA